GAGUUUGAUCAUGGCUCAGAACGUACGCUGGCGGCACGCCUAACACAUGCAAGUCGAACGAAGUAGCAAUACUUAGUGGCAGACGGGUGAGUAACAUGUAGGUAUCUGCCCUUUGGCCUGGAAUAACACGAGGAAACUUGUGCUAAUACCGGAUAAGUCUUUACGGAGAAAGCUUUAUGCACCAUUGGAUGAGCCUGCACUUGAUUAGUUUGUUGGUGGGGUAAUGGCCUACCAAGACUGUGAUCAAUAGCUGAUUUGAGAGGAUGAUCAGCCACAUUGGGACUGAGACACGGCCCAAACUCCUACGGGAGGCAGCAGUGGGGAAUCUUGCACAAUGGAGGAAACUCUGAUGCAGCGAUGCCGCGUGAGUGAAGAAGGCCCUUGGGUUGUAAAGCUCUUUCGUCGGGGAAGAAAAUGACUGUACCCGAAUAAGAAGGUCCGGCUAACUUCGUGCCAGCAGCCGCGGUAAUACGAAGGGACCUAGCGUAGUUCGGAAUUACUGGGCUUAAAGAGUUCGUAGGUGGUUGAAAAAGUUAGUGGUGAAAUCCCAGAGCUUAACUCUGGAACUGCCAUUAAAACUUUUCAGCUAGAGUAUGAUAGAGGAAAGCAGAAUUUCUAGUGUAGAGGUGAAAUUCGUAGAUAUUAGAAAGAAUACCAAUUGCGAAGGCAGCUUUCUGGAUCAUUACUGACACUGAGGAACGAAAGCAUGGGUAGCGAAGAGGAUUAGAUACCCUCGUAGUCCAUGCCGUAACCGAUGUGUGUUAGACGUUGGAAAUUUAUUUUCAGUGUCGCAGGGAAAGCGUUAAGCACACCGCCUGGGGAGUACGACCGCAAGGUUAAAACUCAAAUGAAUUGACGGGGACCCGCACAAGUAGUGGAGCAUGUGGUUUAAUUCGAAGAUACGCGCAGAACCUUACCAACACUUGACAUGUUCGUCGCGACUCUAAGAGAUUAGAGUUUUCGGUUCGGCCGGACGAAACACAGGUGCUGCAUGGCUGUCGUCAGCUCGUGUCGUGAGAUGUUGGGUUAAGUCCCGCAACGAGCGCAACCCCUACUUUUAGUUGCUACCAUUUAGUUGGGCACUCUAAAAGAACUGCCAGUGAUAAGCUGGAGGAAGGCGGGGAUGACGUCAAGUCCUCAUGGCCCUUACGUGUUGGGCUACACACGUGCUACAAUGGUACUUACAGUGAGAAGCAAAGAGGCGACUCUAAGCCAAUCCCUAAAAGGUACCUCAGUUCGGAUUGUACUCUGCAACUCGAGUACAUGAAGCUGGAAUUACUAGUAAUCGCGGAUCAGCGCGCCGCGGUGAAUACGUUCCCGGGUCUUGUACACACCGCCCGUCACACCAUGGAAGUUGGUUACACCUUAAGGCAAAGCAUAAAACCUUUGACUACGGUACGAUCAGCGACUGGGGUGAAGUCGUAACAAGGUAACC
This 1435-nucleotide ribosomal RNA is filed under the name uncultured marine bacterium. Its description in RNAcentral is "partial 16S ribosomal RNA". It matches the Rfam family "Bacterial small subunit ribosomal RNA". The record is from RNAcentral.